CCAGGAGGGAGUUAAAGACUGAGUUACUUGUCGUCUUGGAUACAUUGAGUAUACCGUUAUUUACUGAAGAGGUUAAAAUUAGCCGAAUUUAUGGGCGGCUUGUGGUGUCUCUUUAUGCAGCGGGGCCGGGAUGGCGAGUCAAUUCUUCAGGAUGACAUCAGUUUCAAGAGAUUAAUUCCCAAUGCGUACGAAGAAACAGAUGGGCGUUCCGAUGGCUUUCUUGCUUCAAUGCAUAAAGCGGCGGUAUUUUAAAGAGGGCUAUAGACGACACAGUUGCCAGUGAAACUCUUAGCAACUUAUGAAAGAUGCUUUGUGGUCUUCACACCGGAUGCGUGACGAAUCUUCAAGGGCCAGUUGCCUUUUUUAACUGCUCACGUGGGCAUAACCUAUUUGAAAGCCAGUGCCAUUUUAUGCUGGCAGACACAGCUUCUUAGCCUGUGUUCUGUGCCUGUACGCCUAAAUUUAGAGGUCUGCACCGGAGGCAGGGACCGGUCGUUCCUUCCUGGCAUUUUCUUCCUUAGCUUUUUCAGUGGACGUGAUGUUGACGGCGCAGUGUAUUAAAAUGCGAGUAGGGAC
This is a long non-coding RNA of Dermacentor andersoni, 576 nucleotides long. RefSeq lists it as uncharacterized. The record is from RefSeq and is a predicted model, not a curated record. NCBI's taxonomy places the organism in Eukaryota, Metazoa, Arthropoda, Arachnida, Ixodida, Ixodidae.